RNAcentral lists this ribosomal RNA (450 nucleotides) under uncultured bacterium. RNAcentral's name for it is "bacterial SSU rRNA". It matches the Rfam family "Bacterial small subunit ribosomal RNA", at positions 29 to 480 of the family's 1533-position model. The record is from RNAcentral.
AUUAAACGCUGGCGGCAUGCCUUACACAUGCAAGUCGAACGGCAGCACGGGGGCAACCCUGGUGGCGAGUGGCGGACGGGUGAGUAAAGCAUCGGAACGUAUCCUGGAGUGGGGGGAUAACGUAGCGAAAGUUACGCUAAUACCGCAUAUUCUGUGAGCAGGAAAGCAGGGGAUCGCAAGACCUUGCGCUCUGGGAGCGGCCGAUGUCGGAUUAGCUAGUUGGUGGGGUAAAGGCCUACCAAGGCGACGAUCCGUAGCGGGUCUGAGAGGAUGAUCCGCCACACUGGGACUGAGACACGGCCCAGACUCCUACGGGAGGCAGCAGUGGGGAAUUUUGGACAAUGGGCGGAAGCCUGAUCCAGCCAUGCCGCGUGAGUGAAGAAGGCCUCGGUUGGUAAGUACGUCUUUCGGUCCGGGGGUAAGGGAAAGUUAGUCACGGGUUAAGUAACC